RNAcentral lists this ribosomal RNA (264 nucleotides) under uncultured bacterium. RNAcentral's name for it is "partial 16S ribosomal RNA". It matches the Rfam family "Bacterial small subunit ribosomal RNA", at positions 793 to 1055 of the family's 1533-position model. The record is from RNAcentral.
GUCCACGCCAUAAACGAUGAGAACUGGAUGUCGGAGGGGUCUGCCCUUCGGUGUCGUAGCUAACGCGUUAAGUUCUCCGCCUGGGGAGUACGGCCGCAAGGUUGAAACUCAAAUGAAUUGACGGGGACCCCGCACAAGCGGUGGAGCAUGUGGUUUAAUUCGAUGCAACGCGAAGAACCUUACCUGGUCUUGACAUGUCUGUAAUCUUGCAGAGAUGCGAGAGUGCCUUCGGGAACCAGAACACAGGUGCUGCAUGGCUGUCGU